Molecule: transfer RNA, 70 nt
Filed under: Alpheus inopinatus
Lineage: Eukaryota; Metazoa; Arthropoda; Malacostraca; Decapoda; Alpheidae
Description: tRNA-Ser
Rfam family: tRNA
About the family: Transfer RNA (tRNA) molecules are approximately 80 nucleotides in length. Their secondary structure includes four short double-helical elements and three loops (D, anti-codon, and T loops). Further hydrogen bonds mediate the characteristic L-shaped molecular structure. tRNAs have two regions of fundamental functional importance: the anti-codon, which is responsible for specific mRNA codon recognition, and the 3' end, to which the tRNAs corresponding amino acid is attached (by aminoacyl-tRNA synthetases). tRNAs cope with the degeneracy of the genetic code in two manners: having more than one tRNA (with a specific anti-codon) for a particular amino acid; and 'wobble' base-pairing, i.e. permitting non-standard base-pairing at the 3rd anti-codon position.
Source: RNAcentral
GGCUAUUUAACUUUAAGGAAAGUAGAUGUUUUGAAAGCAUCCUAAAAGAGUUCGACUCUCUUAAUAGCCC